Non-coding RNA from Delphinapterus leucas (beluga whale), 2313 nucleotides. The record is from RefSeq and is a predicted model, not a curated record. Lineage: Eukaryota; Metazoa; Chordata; Mammalia; Artiodactyla; Monodontidae.
UGCACAUGACUGAAUGUGCUUCUGUCCAUCAUCUGGGUCAUAUAUAGUUCAAUGCGAGCUGAGCAGACAGGGCUGCAAGGAAAUCUGGCGCGGUUCAAUACCUCAUCUAGUCUGGGUUCCAGUAUAUAAUUUUUUUUUUACUGACAAACUCAUUUCUCUACCGGGACAGGAUGCUGUGCUGGCUGGGAGUUCCAUUUCUACAGCAAGAAUCCUAUCUGGAAACAGAGAAGUUGUCCUCUAAGCCACAGCAGCUCGAACUUUUUUGAUUGUUGUUGCUGCUUUCUCCCAUCACCCCCACCCCCUUUUGACAAAGAUCCAACUGUAAAAAGUCUUACGUAACAGUUCAGGACUACUUCGGUUCUUUUACUGGUAUAUCAAGAGGCCUCAAGAGGACUAUGAAAACAUUUACAUCUCCAACUCAGAGCAAUGUGGGUUUCACAAUAUUUCGUAGUACCUCUGGAAAAGGAAAGAAAGGAGUACAGUGGGUCCUCCGUAUCCAAGAUGUGGAGGACCAAAGAUACUGCACCAUUUUAUAUAAGGGACUUGAGCAUCCUCGGAUUCUGGUGUCCAAGGAGGAUCCUGGAAUCAAUUCCUGUGGAUACCAAGGGACGACUGUAAAUAGCUGAGGCAAAACAGUACAGUAAAAAAGAAAUAAAUGGUUUGGGAUAGUAUGGAGUUAGAAAACCUGAAUUUAAUUCCAAUUUCUGCCAUGGUUAUGUGUUCUUGGACAAGUGAGUCACCUCUUAAGCCUUAAUUCUCCAUGAAAGAGAGACUAAGUAUACCUCCCCUAUCUUCACAGGAUUGUUGUGAGGCCUCAGAGAGAGCACAGUGAAAAAAUGUGCUGCAAACAGCACACAGCAGUACAGCCCAAUGCAUCCUGGCCUUUGACGGUACUACUCCAUGGCUUAUCCUCACUUUUAGUAGAUAAGAUUCCCUCACUCCCCAAACUCUCACCUACUUGUCAACCAGAAGCACGUAUCUGCAAGAUGUCUAGCUGAGGUUAUUAAUCUAUAACCUGGGGCUGAAUGCAGGCAUUUUUCUGUGUAUACGUGUCACCAGCAUAGACAGUCCAUCAGAGCCACAAUCUAUUUAUUUAGGUCUUUGUAAACUUCUCUCAGAAAUAUUUUAGUUUUUAGUGUACAAAUCUUACACUUCUUUUGUUAAAUUUAUUCCUAAGUAUUUUAUUAUUUUGAUGCAAUCGUGAAUGGAAUUGUUGGACCAUUUUUGGACCAUUACUAGCUAUAAAAAUACAGCUGAUUUUUGUAUAUUGAUCUGGUAUCCUGUGACCUUGCUAAACUCAAUUAGUUCUACUUGUUUUGUGGGGUUUUUGUGAAUUAUUUAGGAUUAUAUAUAGGAUUAUGUCACCUAUGAAUAAAAACAGUUUUAAGACAUCCAAUUUAGAUGCCUUCCCCACUAACCCUCACAUUACUGUACUAGCUAGAACCUCCAGUGAAUGUUGAAAAGAAGCAAUAAGAGCACAUUCUUACCUACCUUAUUCCCAAUCUUAGGGGAAAGGUACUUAUAUUUACCCAAUUAAGUAUUAUGUUAGCUUUAGGCUCUUCAUGGAUGUUCCUCGGUCAAAUUGCGGAAGUUGCCUUCUAUUCCUAGUUUGUUGGGAGAUUUUGAUCAUGAAUGGGUAUUGAAUUUUGUCAAAUGUUUUUCCUGUGUCUACUCAGAUGAUCAUGUGGGGCUUUUUAACCUUUAUCUUAUUAGACUUAUUUUAUGGCCCAGAAUACUCUUAGAGACUGUUCUAUGUGUACUUGAAAAGGAUGUUUAUUCUGCAUGGAGUAUUCAAUAAACAUGAGCUAUGGUAAGUUGGUUGAUUACUUCUCAAUUUGUUAUAAGCGUAUGGUUGUUGUUGAUAGUUUUAUUCAGCUUUACAGUUGCUUUCUGGGGACAGGCUGUGUUGACCUUCUGACUCACUCAUGCCAGAAAUGAAUCUCCUCCUCAGGUAUGUUUUUACAAACCUCAUAAGUGAUAAAAUCCUAAUCUUGGUGAAACCAAACAGCUAGUCUGAAUUCCAGUCUAUUUUCCUGAAAUUAGACCCAAGUACCAUAACAAACUGCUCAAAUACAACUCAAUCCCAAAAUACACUUAGGAGGAAAAACUUCCUGAGGAAGGCAGAGGAAUAAAUUCACUCUGGAAUAUUGGAAUGAUUUUCAAAUCCCAAAGGCAACAAUACAAAAACUUGAGUAUCAAAGAUUUAUCUUCAGUUUCCACUACCAAAAGCCCUAACUGUUGGAGUCACUAGUACCUUCUAUGUGUGUAUACAAUCUGAACCAGCCCCAGAGUCAAUCAUGGCUAGGGCGAGAG